UGAACGCUGGCGGUAGGCCUAACACAUGCAAGUCGAACGGCAGCACAGUAAGAGCUUGCUCUUACGGGUGGCGAGUGGCGGACGGGUGAGGAAUACAUCGGAAUCUACUUUUUCGUGGGGGAUAACGUAGGGAAACUUACGCUAAUACCGCAUACGACCUACGGGUGAAAGCAGGGGAUCUUCGGACCUUGCGCGAUUGAAUGAGCCGAUGUCGGAUUAGCUAGUUGGCGGGGUAAAGGCCCACCAAGGCGACGAUCCGUAGCUGGUCUGAGAGGAUGAUCAGCCACACUGGAACUGAGACACGGUCCAGACUCCUACGGGAGGCAGCAGUGGGGAAUAUUGGACAAUGGGCGCAAGCCUGAUCCAGCCAUACCGCGUGGGUGAAGAAGGCCUUCGGGUUGUAAAGCCCUUUUGUAGGGAAAGAAAAGCAGCAGGUUAAUACCCCGCUGUUCUGACGGUACCCAAAGAAUAAGCACCGGCUAACUUCGUG
This 490-nucleotide ribosomal RNA is filed under the name uncultured bacterium. RNAcentral describes it as "partial 16S ribosomal RNA". It matches the Rfam family "Bacterial small subunit ribosomal RNA", at positions 30 to 507 of the family's 1533-position model. The record is from RNAcentral.